ACUUUAUUGUAUAAGCACUGUGCUAAAAUUAUAGAAACUAGGACCAUAUCUUGGUUUUUGUAAUAAUGCUAGCAGAGUGAGACAGGAAGAAAAGUAAUUGCACUAGAUUGUGAAGACUGGGGUACACCUGUUUCUUAAUGUUCAGUGUCCUUUGUCUUAAGAUUUGGUGUAGUAUAU
Molecule: small nucleolar RNA, 177 nt
Filed under: Cebus imitator (Panamanian white-faced capuchin)
Lineage: Eukaryota; Metazoa; Chordata; Mammalia; Primates; Cebidae
Description: Small nucleolar RNA SNORA81 (ENSCCAG00000004249.1)
Rfam family: Small nucleolar RNA SNORA81
Source: Rfam by way of RNAcentral